GCGAACCGGGAAGAGCCCAGC
This 21-nucleotide small RNA is filed under the name Arabidopsis thaliana (thale cress). RNAcentral's name for it is "Ath_wt_16997". Lineage: Eukaryota; Viridiplantae; Streptophyta; Magnoliopsida; Brassicales; Brassicaceae. The record is from RNAcentral.